GUUCACCUACGGGGGGCAGCAGUGAGGAAUAUUGGUCAAUGGGCGGAAGCCUGAACCAGCCAAGUCGCGUGAGGGAAUAAGGCCCUACGGGUCGUAAACCUCUUUUGCCGGGGAGCAAGGGCGGGGACGUGUCCCGGCCCGGAGAGUACCCGGAGAAAAAGCAUCGGCUAACUCCGUGCCAGCAGCCGCGGUAAUACGGAGGAUGCGAGCGUUAUCCGGAUUUAUUGGGUUUAAAGGGUGCGCAGGCGGCCUAUUAAGUCAGCGGUAAAAGCCCGGGGCUCAACCCCGGCGAGCCGUUGAAACUG
RNAcentral lists this ribosomal RNA (305 nucleotides) under uncultured bacterium. Its description in RNAcentral is "bacterial SSU rRNA". It matches the Rfam family "Bacterial small subunit ribosomal RNA", at positions 333 to 635 of the family's 1533-position model. The record is from RNAcentral.